CCUACGGGGGGCAGCAGUGGGGAAUAUUGGACAAUGGGGGGAACCCUGAUCCAGCCAUGCCGCGUGUGUGAAGAAGGCCCUCGGGUUGUAAAGCACUUUCAGUGAGGAAGAACGCCUGGUGGUUAAUACCCAUCAGGAAAGACAUCACUCACAGAAGAAGCACCGGCUAACUCCGUGCCAGCAGCCGCGGUAAUACGGAGGGUGCGGGCGUUAAUCGGAAUUACUGGGCGUAAAGCGCGCGUAGGUGGCUUGAUAAGCCGGUUGUGAAAGCCCCGGGCUCAACCUGGGAACGGCAUCCGGAACUGUCAAGCUAGAGUGCAGGAGAGGAAGGUAGAAUUCCCGGUGUAGCGGUGAAAUGCGUAGAGAUCGGGAGGAAUACCAGUGGCGAAGGCGGCCUUCUGGACUGACACUGACACUGAGGUGCGAAAGCGUGGGUAGCAAACAGGAUUAGAUACCCGGGUAGUC
This 465-nucleotide ribosomal RNA is filed under the name Vreelandella stevensii. RNAcentral describes it as "partial 16S ribosomal RNA". It matches the Rfam family "Bacterial small subunit ribosomal RNA", at positions 338 to 795 of the family's 1533-position model. The record is from RNAcentral. Lineage: Bacteria; Pseudomonadati; Pseudomonadota; Gammaproteobacteria; Oceanospirillales; Halomonadaceae.